AUUAAAUAGAGCUGAUAUCUUACUCCGCUCCCUACUCCCACUGGACCUCACAACCAUUGGAUACACUCCUUCCCCACAGGGAUACACCUCCCAGGACACAGUAGUGGAGGCACAUAACGGAGUGAUUAACAGGGGUGAUCCCCCUUACGCUGGGUGACCCCCAAGCGUGGCAGACACCUCUCCAAAGUGACAUUGUGGUACAGGGGUGACCCCCCUUACGCUGGGUGACCCCCAAGCGAAUCUGGUUCCUGUCCUAGUGACAUACAUAUACUGGGGUGUUCCCCCUACUCUGGGUGAACCCCAAGCGAAUAUUAUUCCGGUACUAGUGACAUACAUAUACUGGGGGAACCCCCACGCCCUAGGGCGGGCUCAUUUCCACGGAGUACGAUCUGUUACUGUAUGCACAGACCGGGUCACACUGAAUACAUGUAUAUCGAC
RNAcentral lists this long non-coding RNA (438 nucleotides) under Pelobates cultripes (western spadefoot toad). Lineage: Eukaryota; Metazoa; Chordata; Amphibia; Anura; Pelobatidae. The record is from RNAcentral.